This 399-nucleotide ribosomal RNA is filed under the name uncultured bacterium. RNAcentral describes it as "bacterial SSU rRNA". It matches the Rfam family "Bacterial small subunit ribosomal RNA", at positions 27 to 418 of the family's 1533-position model. The record is from RNAcentral.
GAACGAACGCUGGCGGCGCGCCUAACACAUGCAAGUCGAACGAGAAGGCGUAGCAAUACGCUUGUACAGUGGCGAACGGGUGAGGAACACGUGGGUAACCUACCCUCGAGUGGGGAAUAACCAACCGAAAGGUUGGCUAAUGCCGCGUAAGCUUCCAUCUCUUCGGAGGUGGAAGGAAAGCUGUACCGUGGGUACAGCGCUCAAGGAUGGGCUCACGUCCUAUCAGCUUGUUGGUAGGGAACGGCCUACCAAGGCAACGACGGGUAGCUGGUCUGAGAGGACGAUCAGCCACACUGGCACUGCGACACGGGCCAGACUCCUACGGGAGGCAGCAGUGAGGAAUAUUGCGCAAUGGGCGAAAGCCUGACGCAGCGACGCCGCGUGGGGGAUGAAGGUCUU